RNAcentral lists this ribosomal RNA (119 nucleotides) under Pteropus alecto (black flying fox). Lineage: Eukaryota; Metazoa; Chordata; Mammalia; Chiroptera; Pteropodidae. The record is from RNAcentral.
GUCUAUGGCCAUGCUACCCUGAACACGCCCAAUCCCGUCUAAUCUCAGAAGCUAAGCAGGGUCGGGCCUGGUUAGUACUUGGAUGGGAGACCACCUAGGAGGACCAGGUGCUGUAGGUG